RNAcentral lists this unclassified non-coding RNA (329 nucleotides) under soil metagenome. RNAcentral describes it as "partial contains 5.8S ribosomal RNA, internal transcribed spacer 2, and large subunit ribosomal RNA". The stretch from base 1 to 120 matches the Rfam family "5.8S ribosomal RNA", at positions 35 to 154 of the family's 154-position model. The record is from RNAcentral.
GAUGAAGAACGUAGCGAAAUGCGAUAAGUAGUGUGAAUUGCAGAAUUCAGUGAAUCAUCGAAUCUUUGAACGCACAUUGCGCCCCUUGGUAUCCCGAGGGGCAUGCCUGUUCGAGCGUCAUUUCACCACUCAAGCCUGGCUUGGUGUUGGGCGACGUCCCCUUUGGGGACGCGCCUCGAAACGCUCGGCGGCGUGGCACCGGCUUUAAGCGUAGCAGAAUCUUUCGCUUUGGAAGUCGGGGCCCCGUCUGCCGGAAGACCUAUUCGCAAGGUUGACCUCGGAUCAGGCAGGGAUACCCGCUGAACUUAAGCAUAUCAAUAAGCGGAGGA